CGGUAAUACGUAGGUGGCAAGCGUUAUCCGGAAUUAUUGGGCGUAAAGCGCGCGCAGGUGGUUUUUUAAGUCUGAUGUGAAAGCCCCCGGCUCAACCGUGGAGGGUCAUUGGAAACUGGGAGACUUGAGUGCAGAAGAGGAAAGUGGAAUUCCAUGUGUAGCGGUGAAAUGCGUAGAGAUAUGGAGGAACACCAGUGGCGAAGGCGACUUUCUGGUCUGUAACUGACACUGAGGCGCGAAAGCGUGGGGAGCAAACAGGAUUAGAUACCCUGGUAGUCCACGCCGUAAACGAUGAGUGCUAAGUGUUAGAGGGUUUCCGCCCUUUAGUGCGCAAGUUAACGCAUUAAGCACUCCG
This 355-nucleotide ribosomal RNA is filed under the name uncultured Bacillus sp. RNAcentral's name for it is "bacterial SSU rRNA". It matches the Rfam family "Bacterial small subunit ribosomal RNA", at positions 518 to 871 of the family's 1533-position model. The record is from RNAcentral. Lineage: Bacteria; Bacillati; Bacillota; Bacilli; Caryophanales; Bacillaceae.